Molecule: long non-coding RNA, 7905 nt
Organism: Acanthopagrus latus (yellowfin seabream)
Lineage: Eukaryota; Metazoa; Chordata; Actinopteri; Spariformes; Sparidae
Exons: 2
Source: RefSeq, a predicted model, not a curated record
UUUCAUUCUGAGAGAAUAUGGCACAAUGUAACCACUUGAUGCAGUUCAUCUUACAGUGUUGUAGGUGGCCAGUGAUAGUAAACACUCAGAUUUCAUUGUCCAGAACAAAUAAUCAAUCAAGAACGCAUCAAAAAGGAAAAAAAUAAAAUAAAAUCAAUACCAUUGUUACUGUACAGGAAGUAUCAUAGUGGGAGGGGAGGGGGGAGGAGGGAGGAGGGGGGAGGAGAAUAAAUGAGGGACUCUUGGGAGGGGGGGAGGGGGGACAUUCAGAUAGUAGCUAUUAAAGACGUGUAUGUACAUUGCAAAUGUACCACAUCCCAAUUACAUAUAAUGUAUUAUAUAGAUAUAUACAAUGCAAACAAUAGACUCUUAAAUGUAUUUUUCCUAUUGCAAGAGAAGCCACAAGCCACAGUGAGUGAUACACAAUGAACAUCUACAUACAGAAUCAAAUGAAAAAUGAACACUUGUUAUGUACAUUUAACACUUGCAGCAGGCUACUGAGAUUUACUUUUUUUUUUUGUUUCUUUUCAUUUUAUUUGCUGAUUUUUGUUUUAAAUCCACAUGACCCCCCCGCAAAGUUCAGACCGGGUCAAACAGCUCAACACUUUGGUUGCUCCACAAAAAAAAGAGGAAAAAGAAAAAAAAAAAAGAAACUUUUUUUUUUCUCCCCAGGAUGUUAAAAUUGCAAAAAGUUAUAAAGUGUGUCCAGUAAUAUAGCAGGCGGGGGGCAAGCUUCUUUGCCAAGGUGAGUGUGAAGCCUUAUGAAUUUACAGGUGAAAAAUCGAAAUGAAGCCUCUUCCCUCUGGGCCUCUGGGUCACAUUGGAACUAGGUUUUAGCUUUUUUUUUUUUUUUUUCUGUCCACCUCCAGGUUUCCAGGUUUGCUCUUUUUCUUUUUUUUCUCUCUGGCUGCAAAAGUCAGUCUUGAAAAAUCCCCCGGAACCAUGCUCCCCAAAGUUCAAAAAAAAAAAAAAAAAGAAGUUUGGAUCCGGUCGCUCGUUUUUGCAAUGCAGGAAUCCAUUUCUUCCGUCUAUCGUGCCCCCAGAAAACGCACAUAUAUUUAUACCUCCUACUCUUAUAAUCAUGUUCUCUUUGAAACACUUCAAUAAACCAAGCUAUUCAUAUAUUUUCAUGGAUUUUAAACAACACUUUUAAUCUCGAAACCGAGAAGAAGAAACUCUGUCUGUACACGGAUCAUAUUCUAAUUUUUGCAAUACUACAUCUGUACUUUGUACAAUGAUAAACAGAUUUUUAUAAAACGUGAUAGAAAAUGUACAAUACAGUGUAUCUAUAUGUAUUCCAGUACCACGCAAAGCUGUGUCUAAGUGAGUCUUUGGAAGCCUGUUGCUAUUGAAAGACUGGUUGAAAAGAGGAAGGAGUGACGACAGGAGGGAGAGACAAUCACACCGUGUGCAUCUUUCCCUGAUGUGUGCCGUGAUAUUUUGUCCAAUCGGAUGUCUUCAUGCAGAGACAAAUAAAACACUGCACACAUGCAAGCCACACGCACGCACACACACACACACACACACACACACACACACACAAACACACACACACACACACACACACACACACACACACACUGGAUGGAAAAUCAACCAAAAUAUCCCGCUGUGCCUUCAGGAUAUAUUGAAAAACGUCAGUGCUGUGAGUGUGUCCUGUACAGUUUUUGAUUAUUUCAGAAGGCAUUGGGACGAUGAUUUUAGAUUGUUCAGUCCAAAACUCUCAUCGCCUGCUGCAAUCAUGCAGUGACUGUGAAGACGGAAAUUACAGUAAUGGGAGCUCAGAGCCGAGAAAAACAACAUCUUUACCAGAAAAAAAAAAGGAAAAAAGUUAAUUCGGGAGGCUGAAUAAUGUGCUCUUAGAGGAGACCUAUUAUGCUUUUGUUCAUUUUUUCCCUCUUUCCCUCAGUUUGUUAUGGAAGAUCCUGUGCAUGUAAAAGGCCUUGAACCUUAAAAAACAAACAAACUCUGUGCCAACAGGAACUCGUAUCUCCCACAGAAAACACUGCUCCUUAAACGCCUCAUCAGUAGCCUAUAAUUCCAUACCUUUGUGACAUCACGCUAUGUCACCACGUUGAACAUUUUUCAUAAUCUAUGCUGAUAUUCACAUUUGAAGUGAAGAUAACAUGAAGCUGAAAACAUGACCAGAGACACAAUGAGUGGUGCUGACUCAGGCAUGUUCAAGCUGACCAAUCAGAGCUGACUGGGUUCUUAAAGAGACAGGAGCUAAAACAGAGCCUUACAGAUUUUUUCCAGCUAAUUACUAUAAAAAACCCCCCCAGAUAUAUUGUAAAUUAUAACAGUUCAAUAUGUUGUACAGCUGUACAGUAUACUGCAGUAAGAUUUAGACAAUAUAUGUUGAUUUUAAUAAAGUUGACCUUAAUAAAGUUCAUUUUAUAUUAGUACAAUUCUGGCAACCACAGCUACCGGUAUUUUACUGUAUGGUAUUUUAUUGCAAACUUCAACUUUGCGGUAACUUUGCAACUUUGCAGUUGUGAUUAGCAGAAUUUCAUUGUUGCAAAUACGGUAAAACACAUGAGGCAUUCAAAUUGGUUGGCAUAGAAAUCAGUGAUUUUCACAGUAAAAUUGUGGGUUUUCUACAUACAAUGACAGUAAAAAUUACAGUCAAGCACUGUUUCUUGAUUUAUGGUAAAAGAGGCAUAUUAUUUUGGAUUUUAUGGUCUUUUACCGUUGCCCUUUGACUGUUGGUUAGUUUUUUGGACCAGUGGUAACCCGAAAUAAACUAAUAAACCUGACAAUGAAGAUAAUAGGUCUCCUUUAAAUGUAGCACCACACACACACCUUCCUGCACACACACAACCAACGACACAGGUUUCAGAAUAAAGGAGCAAUUUGUUUAUGUCACUCUGGUUAAGGCACUUCAAAUUGCUCCGUACAAUCUGGCGAUAUAAAUGUGUUUUUCCCGAUAAAAAUCUUGCAGCUUGCACUCGCGCCACUGCGUUUUUUUUCUUUUUUUCUUUUCCACAUGGCUGCACAAGACUGCAGAGAUCACUCUCAGCACGAGUGAAGCCAGAGAAACCUUAGAUUUUGAAGUCGUCUCUGAUAAACGUUUCAUGUCAUAUGUUCUCCGUAAAAGGAGUUUAGCCCUUUGACAUAAGCCGUAUGAAGAGGAGCCCAGCUAGCUCUGACGGCACAUUAUGAUCUGUUGACUACAAUAGAGACAAUGUUUAUUCUAGUCAUACUAGGACGGAUGAACGACAGAAUUUAUGUUCAUGAGCACUGAUGGGUUACAAUGGACUCGUGGCGAUAUGAAGGUCAUAACAACCUCAAAGCGACGGGGAACGGUGGAUCGUGUUUGCACAACAUGAGGAUGAGACGCAAUAAAAGCGCAGGACGGAUGGUAAACAGCGCCGCGUCACGCUGUGUUUACACCAGACGGCAGGUUUCGUCUGGGACACUCGAAUUCCUGCAGCAGAACCCUUGGCUGACCCGCCCAGAACGACUGUGACUUCUCCAAACAUGGUCCACAUGCAAGCGUGAUCCUCUAGCUGUGGAUUUUGUCAGUGACAACCCUCCAUCCUCCUCCUCCUCCUCCCUCCCCCCACCCGUCUCUCCCUCUCUCUCUCCCUCUCAACCUCCUGUAACCAUGACUACAAAGGCAAGCUUAUCUGUUCCAAAUGUACAAAGUGUACACCUUGGGGGCUAUCAGUCGCUUUUACCCCUCCCAUGCGUGACAGCCGCUCUUCUUUUCACUGUCACCCAACGACGCUUCCACGUUCUAUCGCAUGCCCACGUUCUCUCACAUCAUCCACUCUUCCCCGCUUCACGAAAGGGACUGAUACAGGACCGUUGUUUUGUCCUCGUCUGCUCAACUACUUGGCAACAGGAGCAACGGGGUGGGGUGGGGUGGGGAGGGGGAGUAAAACGGUUUAUGAGAACUUUGCUCCUGGUGUUUGAAGUGCCGAGGUGAUAACUGCAGUGAGCAGCACUGCUUUAUUUAUUUAUUUAUUUAUUUAUUUUUAGAUGCUUCCUGGGCCAUCUCCCAGCUCCGGGAGGUGAUAAACUGCCAUCACCUUCCAUCAAACACCCAAGCAGCGGCUCAAACUGGGACCCCUGGACCUCGGCUCAAGCUGCGAGCCACUUACUCUCCUGCUGGUAUCACUCAAACGACAGCUUAGCACAGAUUAAUCAGAUAUUCUGGACGGCUCUUUACCCACUACUGAGAUGUGUGACAGAUGUCAGGCAGACGUGGCUCGAUUUAUAACCGUGACGGAUGGUUGGAUGUUGAACUUGGAUGGAUGCCUCCAUUCCUGCUUCAAACUGCCGCGAUAGCUCAACACAGAUCAUCCGUGUGUGUGUGCAGCAGCGGUGGAAAGUACGUUCACUUGAGCACUUUAUACCUUUACUGCCAUUUAAGAAGAAAAUAGAAAAUGUGGUUUGCCUGAUUUGAACACAAAUCAGGCAAAGUAAGAACAGAGAUUUAGAUUUUUCUCUGGUUAGAAGUGGAAAGAAAUAAGCAACAUUUAAAUCAAAAUGUGAUGGCUUCUGUUGGGUCGUUUAGCUGAAAUUCUGACAAUUAAACCAUGUUAUUUUAUGAGGAAAAACAGAAUAGUUGAAAUAAAGUUUUUUUGGAGGGAGGACUUUACAAUACUGUAGUCUUCCAGCUCGAGCUGAGACUUCUCCAGAGACACAAACCACGUGUGGAGUAGAAUUCUGAAUGCAGGGUGUGGUAUUUCUUUCUUUCUUUCUUUCUUUUUUUACGUUGUGAUAUUGCAAUUUUAAUUCAAGUGAAGGAUCCUUCCACCGCUGACGCACGGCUACAGACGUGAGAGGCAUCCUGAGGUUCGCUCCCGGCAUUUUCAAAUAGCAUUUCACCGUAUUGCUUCAGGUUGCGAGCAGAGAAAUGUAAAUGUCAGUGUGCCGGCUCAAUGCGAAAAAACUGUGACUUAUUUCUGUAACUCUGAAAUUUUGAAAGCGAGUGAAAGGAUGUUUAUCCUGCGGUGUCUCUGCACAUAAAGGAGCCGAGACAUGGCAGGAAGGAAGCGGAGGAAAGAGCAAGACGAAGAAUUAAUGGUGGAGCGAGUUAAUGAAUGCAUACGUGAUAUUUACAUUACAUUCAUGACCUCGUAUAUGAGGUAGAGACUAUAACAGGAUCAGGGGCUGAGUGGAGCACUAAGUGGGGCAUGGGCGCGCAGCAAGUGAGCACAAGCUGAGCGUGUAAUGGGCAAUCUUUAAUCUCAAAUGUAGGUGUUCCACAUUGUCCCGUAAUCUGAUCAGCCUCAUGGUGAGUUUUCAUUAUAGGAUCUGUCCCAGAUCUCUCUUUAAGGAGACAGCCUCGAGGAAGCUUGCUCGGUUCGCGGGCGUAAUUCUGCGCCGCGCCCCCCUGCCGGCAACCGUGGCAGCCUCCUGAUGGCAAAGCACUCAUGCAUAUUCAUCAUCAGCUCCUACAGCAUACAUUAAUGUAACUGAGAAUUGUCUAAUAGGUUGAAAUGAUGGAUGACACGCAUGAGUACACAGAACAUGUCUUACAGUAAAUUGAUAUUUUCUCAUUUCUUUUGUAAUUAAAAUGAGCACAACUAUUUAUUACUUUAAUGAUUUACAUAUAAUCAAUUAACUUGUUAUUUUUUUAAAAAUCUUUUUUCUUUUUAAAUGAAGAAGGAGAUGGGUUACAAAAUGUGCACGGCGAAGACGCGAAAAUUAGCCCUUAUUUAAAUCACGAGGUCGCAACCUGUGAUCAGAAGUAAACUCCACUCUUGGAGCAAACACACAUAUCAGAACGUAUACCCACACACACACACACAUACACACAUACACACACACACAAAUCCACACACUCACACACACACACACACACUCAGGUUUUCGCAAUCAUCAGUACAGUACAUACAGCACACUCAUCAAUCCACAAAUCUGCAAGAUCGAAUAAUAAAAAAAAAAACCAUACACACACCACACAGUGCCUUCCCACAGCUCUGAGCUCCGGCCACCUGUUUUCACUGACGGAGUAGGAAGGAUCCCUGCAGUCGUGAAUAACUUUAACAUCUUCACAGCAACGUCUUCGUCAUGAAAUAUACAUCAAGCAUCUUGUCAGCAGUUGUGAAAGCUGACGUGACGUGAUGUGAUGUGAGCGGCUGGCGAAAUCAAAGAGUGCGACUGAACAAUCACAUGCCACAUUUUGCUUUUUCUCUUUAGUCGUAAUUCUUGUGUGGUCUUGGUUAGUCUUUCAUAAUGAUGUGUUGCAGGUUAAAUUAGUCAAGUAUCCUUUGAUAAAAAUGGACAAGUUAUGGUUUUUACACGGGUUAUGUGAGGGACUAUUUCUUGGCCGGGUGCAGUGAUUUCCACACAGUGACCACAAGACUUCAGAAAAUUUUUGCUCCCGACCAAAAAAAAAUAGUGCCACAUAUAAGAACCCAUUUUCAAUGCUGACUUUGUAGGCAGAAAUAUAAGAUGUUAGAUGCUCAGGGUAUUUAUGCUAAGCUAAGCUAAGUGUAUCCUGGCCUCACCAAGACAGCAAAUAAGCAUAUUUACCAAGGAUCUAUGUGGAGAGUUUUGGUUAUUCUUAAUAAUGACACAUGGCAGGUUGUAUUUAGUGAGUUUUCUUUGAUUAGAAAUCCCACAUUUCCAAAACAAGUAAUGGUUUUUACAGAUGUUAUGUGGGGGACUAUUUCUUGGGAAAUCUUUGCACCCAACAGAAAACAAAAAUAAUAAUAAUAAUGAUAAUAAUAAACACAUAAAUAUAAAAAUAGUCUCAAACAUAAAAAAAAUAAAUCUUGUAAAACCAAAACUUGUUUUUGUUUUUGUUCAAAUCCAAUAAAGGAGAUAUAAGCCAUGUGUUCUUAGAGCUAUUUGGUUAUUGUUCAUAGUGACACAUAGCAGGUUGUAUUUUGCUGCAGUUUUCUAUGAUAAACAAGUUAUUGUUUUUAUGGGGGUUACAUGAGGGACUGUAUCUUGGUUGGGUGCAGUGACUUCCUCGAGGAAACGUUUGCCCCAUUAUCAAAAACUAGUCCAACACAAAAAACGCUAAUAUAUAAACAAGAUAUAAUGGGAUAGAUGCUCAAAGUAUUUAUGCUAAGCUAAGCUAAUUGUUACUUUGUCUAGAAGGAUCAUUGAUUGAAUUGAAUGGUUCAAAAUAGAAGCUGAAUCAAUCCUGUGGGUGAAUGUUUCUAUUCUAUUCUAUUUCAUGGUACAAAGAUAUUAAAAAAAGUUAAUGAAAAUUACAAAAACAAUCACAAUCACGUCAUUGUUUUGGAGUAGAGGUCAAAAUUUGGAAAACUCAUAUUUUAGUACCUAGCCAAGUACUGAAGAGUAGAGAAAAUUCAUUUCUGUGAUUUGGCUGAACUGAUUCCUUAAGUCCUAAAUGAUUUCUCACCACUGCUUGGUUGACAAGUGCAGCUCUAAUAUAUUUAUAUACCUAUUAUGUAUUAAUGGCAACUCAUUCCCACGGGGGGCUCACGGGUAGAUGGGAAUCGCAUCCGACCCUGAUGUGACCAUUUCAGAGGCAAUCUAUGCAAGCUGCCCCACUUUACUCUACAUGUUUGCUGGUUGGAAGUGCCAUGAUGAGGAUCACAGACGGAUAGAAAGAAGGCAGGCAGAGGGGCACACAUGGGUGUACGUGCAUCCUCCAAGCCAGCGCACACCCACGUGUGCACUCACAUAAAUAUUGAGUAUACACUGAUAUGUACAGCUAUCUACAGGUAUCUUCACUGAACUUCAAACUUCUGAGGUUUGUAAAUUCAGACAGCCCUAUUUUCCCAUUUUGAAGUUUUCUUGUGUCUUUGUACAGCACAGAUCCUCGCUCUUUAUCUUUUUUUUGUUUUUUCUUCAAUUUUUUAUCAGCUCAGUGUCACUCCAAUGUGCUCCCUGCUUUACAAACCCUCGCGCUUUUAUUAUUAUCAUUCUUUUUUUUUUUUUUCGGCUCACAACACUGAAUGAAUCUGAAUUUUU